This 547-nucleotide ribosomal RNA is filed under the name uncultured bacterium. Its description in RNAcentral is "partial 16S ribosomal RNA". It matches the Rfam family "Bacterial small subunit ribosomal RNA", at positions 355 to 895 of the family's 1533-position model. The record is from RNAcentral.
UGGGGAAUUUUGGACAAUGGGCGCAAGCCUGAUCCAGCCAUGCCGCGUGCGGGAAGAAGGCCUUCGGGUUGUAAACCGCUUUUGUCAGGGAAGAAAUCUUCUGAGUUAAUACCUCGGGAGGAUGACGGUACCUGAAGAAUAAGCACCGGCUAACUACGUGCCAGCAGCCGCGGUAAUACGUAGGGUGCAAGCGUUAAUCGGAAUUACUGGGCGUAAAGCGUGCGCAGGCGGUUUUGUAAGACAGAGGUGAAAUCCCCGGGCUCAACCUGGGAACUGCCUUUGUGACUGCAAGGCUUGAGUGCGGCAGAGGGGGAUGGAAUUCCGCGUGUAGCAGUGAAAUGCGUAGAUAUGCGGAGGAACACCGAUGGCGAAGGCAAUCCCCUGGGCCUGCACUGACGCUCAUGCACGAAAGCGUGGGGAGCAAACAGGAUUAGAUACCCUGGUAGUCCACGCCCUAAACGAUGUCAACUGGUUGUUGGGAAGGUUCCCUCUCAGUAACGUAGCUAACGCGUGAAGUUGACCGCCUGGGGAGUACGGCCGCAAGGUU